This 483-nucleotide ribosomal RNA is filed under the name uncultured bacterium. Its description in RNAcentral is "partial 16S ribosomal RNA". It matches the Rfam family "Bacterial small subunit ribosomal RNA", at positions 28 to 523 of the family's 1533-position model. The record is from RNAcentral.
GAUGAACGCUGGCGGCGUGCUUAACACAUGCAAGUCGAACGGUGAAGCAGAGCUUGCUCUGUGGAUCAGUGGCGAACGGGUGAGUAACACGUGAGCAACCUGCCCCGGACUCUGGGAUAAGCGCUGGAAACGGCGUCUAAUACCGGAUACGAGAUUCCACCGCAUGGUGAGUUUCUGGAAAGAUUUUUUGGUCUGGGAUGGGCUCACGGCCUAUCAGCUUGUUGGUGAGGUAAUGGCUCACCAAGGCGUCGACGGGUAGUCGGCCUGAGAGGGUGACCGGCCACACUGGGACUGAGACACGGCCCAGACUCCUACGGGAGGCAGCAGUGGGGAAUAUUGCACAAUGGGCGGAAGCCUGAUGCAGCAACGCCGCGUGAGGGAUGACGGCCUUCGGGUUGUAAACCUCUUUUAGCAGGGAAGAAGCGAAAGUGACGGUACCUGCAGAAAAAGCGCCGGCUAACUACGUGCCAGCAGCCGCCGUAA